UAGCGGAGGAAAAGAAACUAACAAGGAUUCCCCUAGUAGCGGCGAGCGAAGCGGGAAGAGCUCAAAUUUAUAAUCUGGCACCUUCGGUGUCCGAGUUGUAAUCUCUAGAAAUGUUUUCCGCGUUGGACCGCACACAAGUCUGUUGGAAUACAGCGGCAUAGUGGUGAGACCCCCGUAUAUGGUGCGGACGCCCAGCGCUUUGUGAUACAUUUUCGAAGAGUCGAGUUGUUUGGGAAUGCAGCUCAAAUUGGGUGGUAAAUUCCAUCUAAAGCUAAAUAUUGGCGAGAGACCGAUAGCGAACAAGUACCGUGAGGGAAAGAUGAAAAGCACUUUGGAAAGAGAGUUAACAGUACGUGAAAUUGUUGGAAGGGAAACGCUUGAAGUCAGACUUGCUUGCUGAGCAAUCGGUUUGCAGGCCAGCAUCAGUUUUCCGGGAUGGAUAAUGGUAGAGAGAAGGUAGCAGUUUCGGCUGUGUUAUAGCUCUCUGCUGGAUACAUCUUGGGGGACUGAGGAACGCAGUGUGCCUUUGGCGGGGGUUUCGACCUCUUCACACUUAGGAUGCUGGUGGAAUGGCUUUAAACGACCCGUCUUGA
Molecule: ribosomal RNA, 593 nt
Filed under: Rhodotorula mucilaginosa
Lineage: Eukaryota; Fungi; Basidiomycota; Microbotryomycetes; Sporidiobolales; Sporidiobolaceae
Description: eukaryotic LSU rRNA
Rfam family: Eukaryotic large subunit ribosomal RNA
Source: RNAcentral